CAGCCGUAAACAAUGUGCGUUAGGUGUGUCGGUAACCACGCGUUACUGAUGCGCCGAAGAGAAAUCGUGAAACGCACCACCUGGGAAGUACGGUCGCAAGGCUGAAACUUAAAGGAAUUGGCGGGGGGAGCACCACAACAGGUGGAGCCUGCGGUUUAAUUGGACUCAACGCCGGGAAGCUCACCGGAUAGGACAGCAGAAUGAUUGCCGGGCUGAAGACCCUGCAUGACUAGCUGAGAGGAGGUGCAUGGCCGUCAGUGACU
RNAcentral lists this ribosomal RNA (263 nucleotides) under uncultured archaeon. RNAcentral's name for it is "partial 16S ribosomal RNA". It matches the Rfam family "Archaeal small subunit ribosomal RNA", at positions 748 to 1009 of the family's 1478-position model. The record is from RNAcentral.